UACAUGUGGUGCAAGCGUUGUUCGGAAUUACUGGGCAUAAAGGGUGCGUAGGCGGUGUUGUAAGUCUGGGGUGAAAUCCUGCGGCCCAACCGUAGGUCUGCCUCGGAUACUGCGACACUUGAGUGCGUGAGGGGUGAUCGGAACGCGUGGUGUAGCGGUGAAAUGCGUAGAUAUCACGCGGAAGGCCAACGGCGAAGGCAGAUCACUGGUGCGCAACUGACGCUGAGUGCACGAAAGCGUGGGGAGCAAACAGG
RNAcentral lists this ribosomal RNA (254 nucleotides) under uncultured bacterium. Its description in RNAcentral is "partial 16S ribosomal RNA". It matches the Rfam family "Bacterial small subunit ribosomal RNA", at positions 524 to 776 of the family's 1533-position model. The record is from RNAcentral.